GCAUUGUAGACAGACGUUUUACCGUCUGAGCCACCAGGGAAGUCCUAUAUCAAGGAGAAAAAGAGAAGAAAUUAAUUUUUUUUUUAAUUUGAUGCACCUCUUUGUCAAUCACCCCUCACCUGUCUCUUGUCUUUGUUGUUUUUCCGUAGUUUCUCUUAAUCUUGGUCUCUUUCUCUCUCCAUUUGCUAAGGGCUGGAAAUUCCUUGUUCUCAACGGAAGGGAGGAGGAGGGGAGUUGGAGGUGGUAGGAGUGGGAGGGAAGCGAAGAACAGACAUCUCAGCAGCUCCGGCUGCGGGGGAGUCUGGGCCUCUGGCGGGGCUUGACAAGUCAAUGGUUUUUAAAAUGUACAUAUUUUUAAAUCCACGCAGAGGGGCUCACAAACCUAGAGACACAGACACACAAGUAGAUGUAAAGAAACGUAUAGAUACACAACCUCGGGGUACAGAAGUACAAACUGGGAAUAACGUCUUAAAUUUGCUUCUGAGCAUUUCACAAUUUACAGUUUUCAUAUACACUCUCACUUGAACCUCACGACAACCCUGAGAAACAAAGAUACAAACACUCGGGAGUUUCACUCUCAAACACACGUUCGCACCCAAACAGAUUUCUUCUGACCCCGAGGGGUAUGGGCUGGCCCAGUGUGCGGGGUUUUUCUCCCCUCUUCCCUCUCUGGCCUAGUACCGGCCCCAGGACCAGGUCCCUUCCGCGUUCCCUUUCCUGGGCCGGGACCCAAGGCCGAGCGCCCAGUCGGUUACCGCCCCCUUGCUUCACGCCCUAUUCCACCCUCUUCCCUGGCUGGCCCGCGACUCCCCCCGGAUCCCCGGGCUCGGCACCGGCCCAAGGGGGACCGGGUGGGAGGGAGGGGGGCGCCUUGAGCAGAGGCUGCGUGGGCGGAGGAUGUGCGUCACGGGGAGCGUGGGCAGAGGGAGGGAGGAGGCACGUGGAAACCCGGGGCCAGCCGCUGGCAGCCCAGGCUCUAAAAUAACCGGAGAGGGGAAUGGGGGAGGGGCGCCCACACACCUAAGGGGGGUCGGGGAUGACCCCGGAGGUACCUCGUGUCGCCGCGCCCUCCAGUUGCCGGACGGAGGACUCAGCUCGUUCCUAUCACGCCCUACCCCCGUGUUUGUAGCUUUAUGGAAUGGAGAAGAGAAUCUUGGCUACCGAAAUUCCCCCCGGUGAUGCGAUGCACCCCCACCCCUCCUCUCCGGCCCUCCACUAACGGCCGAAAGGUCCCCUCGCCAGGCCGGAAUGUAGAACCAGCCCUGGCCCACGCCACCCACUCCAGGCCGCCCCGGGCCACUCAGAAGUGCAGAAGGGUGGGCGGGGCCGAGGUUUUGGACUAGGGGGAACCUUGCUUCUGGCCAGCCAGCUCGCUUCCCGCCGCCUCCCCCCACCCUCCUGCAUUUCCUCGGGGCAUAGAGCCGCAGGGCCGGGCGCUCAGAGCCCCCGCCUGUCCGCCCUCCCAGCCGUGGGCGGGAGUGUAAUGGGAACCAGAUGGAGCUGGGAGAAACAAAGGGGGUAGGGAG
Long non-coding RNA from Bos taurus (domestic cattle), 1526 nucleotides. Lineage: Eukaryota; Metazoa; Chordata; Mammalia; Artiodactyla; Bovidae. The record is from Ensembl.